RNAcentral lists this unclassified non-coding RNA (1398 nucleotides) under Hevea brasiliensis (rubber tree). The record is from RNAcentral. Lineage: Eukaryota; Viridiplantae; Streptophyta; Magnoliopsida; Malpighiales; Euphorbiaceae.
GCCAAGGAAUUCAAGAAAAUUCAUGGUCAAAUACUCAAGAAACCUAGGAUUAUGGUUUAGUUUCAAUUCUGAGUUUGUGGAGAGUUAUACAUUAGUCCCAUAAUGGUGGCUUGUUAGCAGAAGAUUUUCUGCAUACUAAAUGAGCCUCAGGAGUCUGUUGAGCCAUGGAAGAAUACUGUUUAUUGCAAGUCUUCCUUGGACAAGACUGGAACCUGCUACCUGUCAGGAUGUGGUAGAUUGGCUAGUGUUCCCAAAUAGAUUUACAGUUUGUUUGGUUUGUGGGAAGAGGAAAUGAAGAGAAGUGAAGUUGAGCUAACUUCUUUUGUUUGAGUACACAAACAAGGAGGGAAAAGGAGAGCGCCAGUGGGAAAUUAGCAUGCUUGUAAUAUUCACUCAAGCUGGAGAGAACUUGAAGAGAAUGCAAGGAAAUUAAGAUAAGUGCUAUUAAGUUACAAAAAUAGUCUUUACUUCUAAAUUUUUGAGCAUUACUAAAUUGUGAUGGAAAAAAAUACAAACCAUAGAAACUUGACAUCCUUUUCUAAGAGGAUAUCCAAGCAAGAGGCAGGAAAUACAAUUUCACUUUCUUUCUCUUCUGCUCAUUUGCCUCUUGAAAUUUUCUUUCAUUAGUUCCUAUUUGGGAUUGAGCUUAAAACUUGCUUUAUGGAAAAGCACCCUUUUAGAUGUUGGAAAAAACAGUUUGAAACUACUGUUCAGCUAUUUUGAAGUUCUUAUGAGUGGAACAAGUGAAAUAUAACUUAAAACAAUUUUUAAUGAUCUCUAAUUAACAUAUUUAGGAUGGUGCUUUUCUCACUAACAACUUGAACGAUGCCAAAUUAACCCAUUAUUCAGAUUGAGGUUGAAGCCAGUCUGAAAUGGAGCAUUUAAAGAUGCAGCACACCAUGUCCAACAAGGAGUAGAUGAAGAAAGAGGUUAAAAUGAGCAUCCACCACCUUAAAAGUGAGAUCAAGAAUAAUCAUUGAGAUCAAGAAUAAUCAUUCUGGUUUCUUACCAGUUAUGAUGUGCAUAGAGUUACUGAGUAGAAAACUUAUAAGUUAGGAUAGUAUACGUACAUGCACAGCCAUGGCAUGUGCUACAGUUAAUAUAUAAGUUGUUCUAGUGAAAUUGAUUUUCCAUCCUAGUGUGUUGUGGUAGUGUGGUUCAUUUGGAGGCAACUGUUUAAUUAAAUAUGUUGUGCUUGUUUUCUUGUGCAUCCUUCAUUGCAUUGGAGAUUCAUUGAUCUCUAAGGGAUGUGCUAUCCUGAAUUACUGAGGAAAGUACAUUAUAUGCAAAUUUUACUUGAUAUAAAAGGUUGUGGUAUUCUUGUGACUCUGAGGAAUGAGGAUUGGUCUAAAAUGAAGAGGGUUUGUGUGGAAAUGUUCUCUCUCUCUCUCUCUCUCU